Molecule: ribosomal RNA, 480 nt
Filed under: uncultured Blastococcus sp.
Lineage: Bacteria; Bacillati; Actinomycetota; Actinomycetes; Geodermatophilales; Geodermatophilaceae
Description: bacterial SSU rRNA
Rfam family: Bacterial small subunit ribosomal RNA
Source: RNAcentral
CCGGGGUUCUUUUCCCAUGCAGUCGACGGUGACCAUCUUCGGGUGGGGAUCAGUGGCGAACGGGUGAGUAACACGUGGGCAACCUGCCCCCGGCUCUGGGAUAACUCCAAGAAAUUGGGGCUAAUACCGGAUAUGACCGCUGGCCGCAUGGUCUGGUGGUGGAAAGAUUUAUCGGCUGGGGAUGGGCCCGCGGCCUAUCAGCUUGUUGGUGGGGUGAUGGCCUACCAAGGCGACGACGGGUAGCCGGCCUGAGAGGGUGUCCGGCCACACUGGGACUGAGAUACGGCCCAGACUCCUACGGGAGGCAGCAGUGGGGAAUAUUGCACAAUGGGCGCAAGCCUGAUGAGGCGACGCCGCGUGGGGGAUGACGGCCUUCGGGUUGUAAACCUCUUUCAGCACAGACGAAGCGUAAGUGACGGUAUGUGCAGAAGAAGCACCGGCCAACUACGUGCCAGCAGCCGCGGUAAUAAUCUAGAUGCA